RNAcentral lists this ribosomal RNA (265 nucleotides) under uncultured prokaryote. Its description in RNAcentral is "partial 16S ribosomal RNA". It matches the Rfam family "Bacterial small subunit ribosomal RNA", at positions 524 to 788 of the family's 1533-position model. The record is from RNAcentral.
UACGUAGGUGGCAAGCGUUAUCCGGAUUUACUGGGUGUAAAGGGCGUGUAGGCGGGUCUGCAAGUCAGAUGUGAAAUCUCCGGGCUUAACUCGGAAGUGUCAUCUGAAACUACGGAUCUUGAGUACUGGAGAGGAUAGUGGAAUUCCUAGUGUAGCGGUAAAAUGUGUAGAUAUUAGGAGGAACACCAGUGGCGAAGGCGGCUAUCUGGACAGUAACUGACGCUGAGGCGCGAAAGCGUGGGGAGCAAACAGGAUUAGAUACCCU